Molecule: ribosomal RNA, 405 nt
Filed under: uncultured bacterium
Lineage: Bacteria
Description: partial 16S ribosomal RNA
Rfam family: Bacterial small subunit ribosomal RNA
Source: RNAcentral
AUUGAACGCUGGCGGCAGGCCUAACACAUGCAAGUCGAACGAGUGGCGGACGGGUGAGUAAUGUCUGGGAAACUGCCCGAUGGAGGGGGGUAACUACUGGAAACGGUAGCUAAUACCGCAUACCAUCGGAUGUGCCCAGAUGGGAUUAGCUAGUAGGUGGGGUAACGGCUCACCUAGGCGACGAUCCCUAGCUGGUCUGAGAGGAUGACCAGCCACCCUGGAGCUGAGACACGGUCCAGCCCCCUACGGGAGGCAGCAGUGGGGAAUAUUGCACAAUGGGCGCAAUCCUGAUGCACCCUGGCCGCGUGUAUGAAGAAGGCCUUCGGGUUGUAAAGUACUUUCAGCGAGGAGGCGUUACUCGCAGAAGAAGCACCGGCUACCUCCGUGCCAGCAGCCGCGUAAUAC